Molecule: ribosomal RNA, 460 nt
Filed under: uncultured bacterium
Lineage: Bacteria
Description: partial 16S ribosomal RNA
Rfam family: Bacterial small subunit ribosomal RNA
Source: RNAcentral
CCUACGGGUGGCAGCAGUGAGGAAUAUUGGUCAAUGGACGAGAGUCUGAACCAGCCAAGUAGCGUGAAGGAUGACUGCCCUAUGGGUUGUAAACUUCUUUUAUCUGGGACUAAAAUGUUCCACGUGUGGGAUUUUGUAUGUACCUUAUGAUUAAGGACCGGUUAACCCCGUGCCAGCAGCCGCGGUAAUACGGAGGAUCCGAGCGUUAUCCGGAUUUAUUGGGUUUAAAGGGAGCGUAGGUGGGUUGUUAAGCCGGUUGUGAAAGUUUGCGGCUCAACCGUAAAAUUGCAGUUGAAACUGGCAGGCUGGAGUACAGUAGAGGUGGGCGGAAUUCGUGGUGUAGCGGUGAAAUGCUUAGAUAUCACGAAGAACUCCGAUUGCGAAGGUAGUUCACGGGACUGCAACUGACGCUGAGGCUCGAAAGUGUGGGUAUCAAACAGGAUUAGAUACCCGGGUAGUC